Non-coding RNA from Salmo salar (Atlantic salmon), 55 nucleotides. NCBI's taxonomy places the organism in Eukaryota, Metazoa, Chordata, Actinopteri, Salmoniformes, Salmonidae. The record is from Rfam.
UGCAUUCACUACUGUAAGUCGCUCUGGAUAAGAGCGUCUGCUAACAUGACUAAAA